This 1449-nucleotide long non-coding RNA is filed under the name Prunus persica (peach). Its description in RNAcentral is "long non-coding RNA (PPER_LNC004205)". The record is from RNAcentral. Lineage: Eukaryota; Viridiplantae; Streptophyta; Magnoliopsida; Rosales; Rosaceae.
UUUAACUACCAAAAAUAGCCCUAGUACAACACUCUAAUACUAAAUCCUAAACUAGGUUUCUCUUUUUACAUGAAUUUGUGCCCUCUUUUCAGAUUUUGGGUUUUCAUCAAAAUCUUUAAUUUCGCAAUACCAAUCCUAAACUAGUACUCGCUGCGUUAUUCCUGAGCACCAAACAAUACAAAGAUUUUUCUACGUCUGAUGAGGGUUGAAUAUAGUGAGUAAGGUAUACUUAUUAAAAUUUUAUUUGUUUCACAAUUCAUUAUAUCCUUUUUGGUUAUUUUAUAUUAUGAUAAAUUAGUAAUUCAAUAAGUAAUUUGGUAGUAGAAUGUACUCAGUUAAUUUUAGGGUUCGUUUAGCAGCACUCUAAAAUAUUCAUAAAUUUUUAAAAAUCAAUUGAAAAAAUAGGACAAAAAACCCACACCACCCAUGUUCUUCACCGUCCAAUGUAAAAAGAAAGAAACAAGUAUUCAUCUUCAUCGCCAAUGCCACACCACCCAUUUUCUCCUAAGAUCUGAACCCUCUUCUUCUUCUUUGUCAGUUGCAACCUUUUGAUUGAGACCUAAUUUUCCAUAGACUCAUCUUAUUUCCCUCAUUUUCAAGCAAUGGAGAAGCAAAAACUGAACCCAGAAAUCAGAGAAUUUCGGGGAAGGGAACCAGAAACUUGCGACAUAGAUAUUGAACGAAAAGCUCUUCAUCUGUGGCAUAAAAUCAAAACUUGAAAAAUUUCAGAACUUGGAAGUUGGAUGCAGAAAAUUUCAGAGAGAGAGAGGUUAAACUCUUCAUCCUCCCUUGCGAACUCAAACUCCAGAUCCCAUUGUCCCCAGCGCGCCUAUACCUGACCCAAUAACUCAAAACGACUUUGGCGAGAUCUGAUGAGUGAGAUGGUGCCUAGAUCUGGGAGGUAGCUGUGCGAGAGAGAGAGAGAGAGAGAGAGAGAGAGAGAGAGAUGCGGUUUGGGGCUGGGUUCGUGGACUUGGGUGGAGAUUAAGGGUUGCGGAGAAGAAAUUCGGAGGUGGGGGGUGGGAGGAGGAGGGGGGAGGGAUGGGUCUGAGUUUGUGAUGGGGGAGAAAAAAUUGUAAGAAAUCAUCUGGGAGGUGCAAACGUUCUGAAAAUUCGUUGAAAGAGAGAUGCGGUGAAGAGGGUGGUGGCUGGUCAGGAUGGGAAGGGAGAAGAAAGGGGGGAGGAGGGUGUGGUGGUCAUAGGCAAAAGGGGGAGAAGAAAUGUUGGGGUGGGAGGCUCUGGUUUGGUUAGUUCCUAAGAUCUUUUUUUUUUUUUUCUCUUUUCUUCAUUUUACCAAUUUAUUUAUUUAUUUUUAUAUUCAUACAUUAAUCAAUUUAAAAUUAAAAAAGAAAAAUGUGGGACCAUAAAUAUCACGUAGGCAACUAACAGAGUGAUUUGACAGAAGCCUUAACGGUGGAACUGCAUUGUAACAAAUUUAAAAGAUCGGAA